RNAcentral lists this ribosomal RNA (443 nucleotides) under uncultured bacterium. RNAcentral's name for it is "partial 16S ribosomal RNA". It matches the Rfam family "Bacterial small subunit ribosomal RNA", at positions 338 to 795 of the family's 1533-position model. The record is from RNAcentral.
CCUACGGGAGGCAGCAGUGGGGAAUAUUGGACAAUGGGGGGAACCCUGAUCCAGCGACGCCGCGUGAGUGAAGACGUAUUUCGGUAUGUAAAGCUCUAUCAGCCGGGAAGAAAGAAGUGACGGUACCUGACUAAGAAGCCCUGGCUAACUACGUGCCAGCAGCUGGGGUAAUACGUAGGGGGCAGGCGUUAUGCGGAUUUACUGGGUGUAACGGGAGCAUAGGCGGGGAUGCAAGUUUGAAGUGAAAGGCGGGGGCCCAACCCCCGGACUGCUUUGGAAACUGUAGUGCUGGAGUGCAGGAGAAGUAUGUGGAAUUCCUAGUGUAGCGGUGAAAUGCAUAGAUAUUAGGAAGAACACCAGUGGCGAAGGCAGCUUACUGGACUGUAACUGACGUUGAGGCUCGAAAGCGUGGGGAGCAAACAGGAUUAGAUACCCGAGUAGUC